GAUCAUGGCUCAGGAUGAACGCUGGCGGCGUGCCUAACACAUGCAAGUCGAACGGACUUACAUUGAAGCCUAGUCGAUAUGUAAGUUAGUGGCGGACGGGUGAGUAACGCGUGGGUAACCUGCCUUGUACUGGGGGACGAACAGUUGGAAACGACUGCUAAUACCGCAUAAGCGCACAGCUUCGGCAUGAAGCAGUGUGAAAAACUCCGGUGGUACCAAGAUGGACCCGCGUCUGAUUAG
RNAcentral lists this ribosomal RNA (240 nucleotides) under uncultured bacterium. RNAcentral's name for it is "partial 16S ribosomal RNA". It matches the Rfam family "Bacterial small subunit ribosomal RNA", at positions 15 to 244 of the family's 1533-position model. The record is from RNAcentral.